CACUAAAAAUAUCAUCUAUUUAUACUGUUAAAAACUAACAUGCAUGACGGAAUAACUAGACAAUGACACAUGAUUUGUCAUUGUAUCUCACGCUGAUGUUUAAGGACUAGCUCUUAAAAAUAAAAAUAAAUAAAAUUUUUAACA
This is a non-coding RNA of Gossypium hirsutum (cotton), 144 nucleotides long. The record is from Rfam. Lineage: Eukaryota; Viridiplantae; Streptophyta; Magnoliopsida; Malvales; Malvaceae.